Molecule: ribosomal RNA, 1335 nt
Filed under: Hipparchia autonoe (Russian grayling)
Lineage: Eukaryota; Metazoa; Arthropoda; Insecta; Lepidoptera; Nymphalidae
Description: 16S ribosomal RNA
Rfam family: Archaeal large subunit ribosomal RNA (bases 1079-1237)
Source: RNAcentral
GGGGGGAAAAUUAAAUGGUUAAAUAUUAAUAAAAUAAAUUUUAAAUUAAAAAUAUAUAAUGGGGGUUAAAGUAUUUUUAAUAGAAAAAAUUUAAAUUUUUAUAGUUAACUAAGUAUUGUAAAAGAAAUUUGAAAUAAAUGAAAAUUAAUUAAUAAAAAAGAAAAUUUAGUUUAUUGUAUCUUGUGUAUCAGAGUUUAUUAAAUAAGAUUUUUAUAAAAAAAGAUCUCGAAUUUAAAAGAGUUAAUUAAUUAAUAAAGUUAAUGUAGUAUAAUUAUUUUAAAUAAUUAAUUAGAAAUGAAAUGUUAAUCGUUUUUAAAUAUAUCUAGUUAUUUUAGAAAAAAAUUAAAUUUUAAAUUUAAAUAAUUUUAUAAUUUAAUAAAAUAAUUAUAAAAAUUUAAAUUUAAUAUAAUAAGGGAUAAGCUUUAAAAUUAAAGAUUUAUAAUAAAUUAAUUUUAAAAUUAAAAUUUUUAAAAUUUAUAUUGUUUAAAAAUUAUAAUUUAUUAUAAAAAAUUUUAAUAUAAAUAAAAUUUAAUUAAAAAAUUUAAAUUUAUAUAAAAUAAUAAUUUUGUAUAAAAUAAAAUUAAUAAUAAUGAUAAAAUUAGUAUAAAUUUAAAGAUAAAAUAUUAAAUAUUAAUUAAAAUUAAUAAAAAGGAAUUCGGCAAACAAAAUAUUCACUUGUUUAUCAAAAACAUGUCUUUUUGAGAAUAAUUUAAAGUCUAAUCUGCCCACUGAUUAAUAUUAAAGGGCUGCAGUAUAAUGACUGUACAAAGGUAGCAUAAUCAAUAGUUUUUUAAUUGGAAACUUGUAUGAAAGAUUUGAUGAAAUAUAAACUGUCUCUUAUUUAUUAUUAGAAAUUUAUUUUUUAGUUAAAAAGCUAAAAUAAUUUUAAAAGACGAGAAGACCCUAUAGAGUUUUAUAUUUAUUUUUAUUUUAUAGGUAUAUAAAAAUUUAAAAUAAGAUAAAAAUAAAUAUUUUGUUGGGGUGACAGAAAAAUUAAAUUAACUUUUUUUAAAAAUUAAACAUAGAUAAAUGAUUAAAUGAUCCAUUAAUAAUGAUUAUAAGAAAAAAUUACCUUAGGGAUAACAGCGUAAUAUUUUUUUUUAGUUCGUAUAAAAAAGAAAGUUUGCGACCUCGAUGUUGGAUUAAGGUAAAAUUUAAAUGCAAAAGUUUAAAAUUUUGAUCUGUUCGAUCAUUAAAACCUUACAUGAUCUGAGUUCAAACCGGUGUGAGCCAGGUUGGUUUCUAUCUUUAAAUAAAGAAAAUGUUUUAGUACGAAAGGAUCAAGCAUUUAAAAUAAUUUUAAUAAAAGAAUAUUAUUAAUUAAUUAAUAGAAUU